Molecule: non-coding RNA, 26 nt
Filed under: Trypanosoma brucei brucei
Lineage: Eukaryota; Euglenozoa; Kinetoplastea; Trypanosomatida; Trypanosomatidae
Source: RNAcentral
AACAACAUAAAUCAUAAUAAUAAAAU